AGUAACGGCGAGUGAAGCGGUAAUAGCUCAAAUUUGAAAUCUGGCCUCUCGGGGUCCGAGUUGUAAUUUGUAGAGGAUGUUUUGGGUACCGCCCCGGUCUAAAUUUCUUGGAACAGAAUGUCAAAGAGGGUGAGAAUCCCGUCUUGGACCGGCGGUAGGGCUCGUGUAAAACUCCUUCGACGAGUCGAGUUGUUUGGGA
This 199-nucleotide ribosomal RNA is filed under the name Cladophialophora sp. RNAcentral's name for it is "partial large subunit ribosomal RNA". It matches the Rfam family "Eukaryotic large subunit ribosomal RNA", at positions 82 to 279 of the family's 3401-position model. The record is from RNAcentral. Lineage: Eukaryota; Fungi; Ascomycota; Eurotiomycetes; Chaetothyriales; Herpotrichiellaceae.